AAUAAGUGCAGUUUUGCACUGUUCAUAUCCAACAUUUGACCAUUCAUCUUAUUUGAAAUUUUUUUAUGAUUAAUAUUUUUAUUGUUAUUAGAUGAUAAAAUAUGAAUAGUAUUUUAUGUGUGAUUAAUCUUUUAUAAUUUUUUUAAAUAAGACAAAUGGUCAAACGUUGAACACGGAUAUCCAUGGCUGCACUUAUU
Molecule: microRNA precursor, 197 nt
Filed under: Oryza sativa Japonica Group (Japanese rice)
Lineage: Eukaryota; Viridiplantae; Streptophyta; Magnoliopsida; Poales; Poaceae
Description: MIR812 microRNA precursor family
Rfam family: MIR812 microRNA precursor family
Source: Rfam by way of RNAcentral